AGUUGCACCCAGAGCUAUAGAGAGAGAGAGUUGCGACACUUCCAUUGGACUCCGUUGUAGCGCCUACUUCCGGGGUAUGGAGCCUCGAAUAGUUCCAAACAACCAUUUUACGGCGUAGGAGACCGUUUAUUUCCAUUGCUGGCCGCCGAGUAACUUCUGAGUUGCCUUAUUAGGUCCUCCACAGUCGCCCCAUCAGUCCCUGGCAGUCUGGUCCCUGGAGCAGCUGGCCCUGGCAAAAGUUAUUCCUUCACGGUUGACCCCUGACUGACUGGCCCUCGGCACACAAAUCCCUGGAUCACCCGCCACUGGAUCACCUGCCCCUGGAUCACCUGCCCCUGAAUCACCUGCCCCUGGCAAUGUGGCCUCUUGAUUGCUCUCUCUGUCUCCUGUGAUGUCCUUUUCAACGCUCUUGAAAUCCACCUAAAUUUCUCCCUCAAUCUCUGUAACAAUUACAAGGUAAUGUUGCUGUUAUAUGUAUUUUGCCUUUGCAUUUGCAACUACUGUCAUCUCCAAUGUAAGAAAAUGAAUUAAAGCAAAACAUUUCUGUAAUGUGAAUUAAAUCAUCUGCCACAAUCAGAAACCAAUACAAUUUAUAAAUGGA
Gadus macrocephalus (Pacific cod) is the source of this 601-nucleotide long non-coding RNA. RefSeq lists it as uncharacterized. The transcript is spliced from 2 exons. The record is from RefSeq and is a predicted model, not a curated record. Lineage: Eukaryota; Metazoa; Chordata; Actinopteri; Gadiformes; Gadidae.